UACGUAGGGGGCGAGCGUUGUCCGGAAUUACUGGGCGUAAAGAGAGCGUAGGCGGCACUACAAGUCUCAUGUGAAAUACCCGGGCUUAACUUGGGGGUUGCAUGGGAAACUGUGGAGCUUGAGUACAGGAGAGGCAAGCGGAAUUCCUAGUGUAGCGGUGAAAUGCAUAGAUAUUAGGAGGAACACCAGUGGCGAAGGCGGCUUGCUGGACUGAAACUGACGCUGAGGCUCGAAAGCGUGGGGAGCAAACAGG
Molecule: ribosomal RNA, 253 nt
Filed under: uncultured bacterium
Lineage: Bacteria
Description: partial 16S ribosomal RNA
Rfam family: Bacterial small subunit ribosomal RNA
Source: RNAcentral